Perca fluviatilis (European perch) is the source of this 111-nucleotide small nuclear RNA. The record is from RefSeq and is a predicted model, not a curated record. Lineage: Eukaryota; Metazoa; Chordata; Actinopteri; Perciformes; Percidae.
GUGCUUGCUCAGACAGCACAUAUGCACAAAAUGGAACGAUACAGAGAAGAUUAGCAUGGCCCUCGCAAAGGAUGACACGCAAAUUCGUGAAGCGUUACCACACAUAUUUUU